AAUAGAUACCCGGGUAGUCCACGCCGUAAACGAUGAGUGCUAAGUGUUAGAGGGUUUCCGCCCUUUAGUGCUGCAGCUAACGCAUUAAGCACUCCGCCUGGGGAGUACGGUCGCAAGACUGAAACUCAAAGGAAUUGACGGGGGGCCCGCACAAGCGGUGGAGCAUGUGGUUUAAUUCGAAGCAACGCGAAGAACCUUACCAGGUCUUGACAUCCUCUGACAACUCUAAAGAUAGAGCGUUCCCCUUCGGGGGGACAGAGUGACAGGUGGUGCAUGGUUGUCGUCAGCUCGUGUCGUGAGAUGUUGGGUUAAGUCCCGCAACGAGCGCAACCCUUGAUCUUAGUUGCCAGCAUUUAGUUGGGCACUCUAAGGUGACUGCCGGUGACAAACCGGAGGAAGGUGGGGAUGACGUCAAAUCAUCAUGCCCCUUAUGACCUGGGCUACACACGUGCUACAAUGGAUGGUACAAAGGGCUGCAAGACCGCGAGGUCAAGCCAAUCCCAUAAAACCAUUCUCAGUUCGGA
RNAcentral lists this ribosomal RNA (524 nucleotides) under uncultured bacterium. RNAcentral describes it as "bacterial SSU rRNA". It matches the Rfam family "Bacterial small subunit ribosomal RNA", at positions 777 to 1297 of the family's 1533-position model. The record is from RNAcentral.